RNAcentral lists this long non-coding RNA (2462 nucleotides) under Homo sapiens (human). RNAcentral describes it as "HSALNT0207202". Lineage: Eukaryota; Metazoa; Chordata; Mammalia; Primates; Hominidae. The record is from RNAcentral.
CCUUGCUCCGGGCUUGAGCUCCUGCACCACGGUGCUGGGACAAUCACACGCACAGGGUCUACCUGCGCAUGAGAGGCAGGAGAGCGCCGUGCCUUGGGGAGCAGGGGGUGGUCCCGGCGUCCCUGUGCCCUCAGAUGCCACCUAAGCUCCAGAGCCUCCAUUUCCUUGUCUGUAAAGCAUGGUCCCCGGAAGCAGGGAGGAUCAGGACCAAAGGCCGCUGUAGGCGAUGAUCAUCCCCAAUCACGGCCCUCGACCGGAGCGCACUUCCCCGCAUCUGGAGCCAUCUGCAUCUGUCUCCUUUGCAGUCUGCCGGUAAUUGGGUCUGAAAUCACACGCGUCCCACUCAGCUACAUUUACAUUUCCUUCUUGCGCUGUUUUUAUAUCCAGAGCUGUUGAAACCACUCCUAGGAUGAAUUUCUAAACUUAGACCAUCUCAUCCUCAAACGGCAAGAAAGAAAGUGUGAUGUGUCUGUGAAUCUGCUGAAUGGGCCGAGGGGUGUUUUUAAAAGAUCAUAUUGCGGGGAAGAAGCAGGCACUGCAGAAACCUAUGGAUUGGGGUGCUAAAACCUACGAGCUUCCCAGGAAGCUGCCUUUUGGGAGCCCGAACUAUCCCAGAACUUUUUCCUAGUAGCAGAUCACAAUCACCGUCUCUUCUGUGAGCCCGCUUCAAGCCAGCAAUGAAAGGACACUUCUGCACGCCAGCAGUAAGAGUAGGAAACCCCACUCUCCCUACAACAUAAGGGCUACACAUUUGAGAUCCUCUCAGAGGACUUUUUAAAAAAAUAACAUCUUUCAUUUAUGCUUGAGCAGGGAGAAGAGUCAUUAAAAAGAAGAGAUUUUUAAAAUCCCUGUCCAAUGCUUUUGGCCAGCCAGCCGCUCAGGACAAAGGGCUGCCUGGUUUGGGGACCUAAUUAUCCGGAGGCCAAGGCGCGGCUGCGGGUGAUGGGGCUGCCGAUUCCGCCGCGAGCACAGUCCGCCUCAUUGUUGGUGAAUUUCCUGCUCUUGGCACUUUCUUUGGCAGCCUCAUGGCCAGCACCUGUGCACUCAGACCUGGGGCCUGGGACGUCUACACAGAUGUCACGGCGCUUUUGUUGAUUUCCUAUUAGUGGCACUUAAUAGGCAGGCGCUGGGGACAGCUUGGCUCGGCUCCGGGGAGGGGCCGCAAACAUCGCUCCCUUGGUGGGCGAAGGGUCAAAUGGUUUCUAAAGCUCGGCCAGAUAAUUGCUGGUGAUUAGCAAUUUUAAUUAGCAGGUGCGAGGGGUCGGGACCCCCUUCCCUGUAAUUGGACAGGUUGUUAACAUUCGUGGAGUUGUGACCAGGGAGUAUAUUUUACUAAUACUCUCCAGCUCUUUUAAAGUUAAUUAAAUUAAAGGAGCUAAAACCACCAGAGACGGCCUGAGAUCUGAUGAGCCAGAUAGGAAAAGUUUUCAGUAAAACUUGUCUCACUGGAAAAAAAAAGAAAAAAAAAAAAAAAACUUCAAACACAGCCAUGAAUCCCUUGUGAACGCCGCGUGGCCCCGUGCGUGUUCUUCUGUGGCUGCGGAAGGCUGGGGCCGUGAACGUGUUUUCUCUGCCGGGUGCCUCACGUUGGGACUCGGCCCGUCGGGGUCCGGCUCUUCUGUUCCGCGCACUGACUCUUAGGGGCUUUGUUCGGUCACAGCGAGCAGAAAACCAGCGUCUCCCCGGUGCAGCCUUGGAAGGGGCUGGACACCCGCUCAUGGCCACAGAGGGCAGCUUCCGGGCGACGCUCCAGCUCUGCCUCUCGGACUCCUCACGGACACAGGCGUGUGUUUGAAACGGAUCGAUGUCCCCCCGGUUCCUUUCACAGACACCAGAAAGCCCGCGAACACACCUCACAGGCUCCGAAGUCUCACUCUGAUCUUGGCUCACUGCAACCUCUGCCUCCUGAGUUCAACUGAUUCUCCUGCCUCAGCCUCACCAGUAGCUGGGAUUACAGAUGCCCAUCACCAUGCCCGGCUAAUUUUGUAUUUUUAAUAGAGACAGGGUUUUGCCAUGUUGGCCAGGCUGGUCUCGAACUCCUGACCUCAAGCGAUCCACCUGCCUCGGCCUCUGGGAUUACAGAUGUGAGCCAUCGCACCUGUGCGUGAAGGUUUUCUAACCUUCUAUCAGAUUUUCUAACCUCCCCAAGCCACAGGAUGAGAAAAGGUGAGUGACACUCUCAGGGACACAGGGCGGGGCAGAGGGCAGGGGCUGGCUGUGCGGCUGGCUCCUGGGGGAUCACACAGCAGUGGGAGGGCCUGGUGCUGUCUAUGGCUGCGGCUGCUGUCUGUACAGUGAACUGGUGAGAACCAUGCAGAUGUGGGGGACACGCCCCUGAGCACAGUCAGUGCUCUGCCCAAAUCCAGAUUUCUUUUCAUCAGUGUUCUAAGGAAAGGAUGCUGAACGUAGCGAUGCUAUUCAGGGACCUGUGGUGCCAGGCGAAGCUCAGUGCUGCACGCGAG